CCUACGGGAGGCAGCAGUGAGGAAUAUUGGUCAAUGGCCGGAAGGCUGAACCAGCCAUGCCGCGUGAAGGUCAGUGCCCUAUGGGCGUUAAACUUCUUUUGUGCGGGAGCAAUAAUGGUCACGUGUGGCCAGACGAGAGUACCGUACGAAUAAGUAUCGGCUAACUCCGUGCCAGCAGCCGCGGUAAUACGGGGGAUGCAAGCGUUAUCCGGAUUUAUUGGGUUUAAAGGGUGCGUAGGCUGUGAGGUAAGUCAGCGGUGAAAUGCCCCCGCUCAACGGGGUGAAGUGCCAUUGAUACUGCCUGGCUGGAAUGCGGAUGCCGUGGGAGGAAUGUGUGGUGUAGCGGUGAAAUGCAUAGAUAUCACACAGAACACCGAUUGCGAAGGCAUCUCACGAAUCCGCGAUUGACGCUGAUGCACGAAAGCGUGGGUAUCAAACAGGAUUAGAUACCCGUGUAGUC
This 460-nucleotide ribosomal RNA is filed under the name uncultured bacterium. RNAcentral's name for it is "partial 16S ribosomal RNA". It matches the Rfam family "Bacterial small subunit ribosomal RNA", at positions 338 to 795 of the family's 1533-position model. The record is from RNAcentral.